CUGAGGCAGAGAGAAAUCAAGAUGAAGCAGUUUGCCCAAGAUCACAGAAACUGAUGGAUUCAGGAUUUGCUCCCAGAAACAAAAUAGGAAUGAUUACAUUUGCCAUCACCAUGGAUGGAAGAUCAGUGACAUGACAUUUGACCAUCUGUUUACAGUUUUUAAGUGGAUGCUGCUAAAUGGAGUCUGGAAGCUCCAAGCAUACUUCAGUGAGGGCAAACCACAGUAGGAGACCAUGGAACCAGUGGCUCAUUACAUCCUUCGAGUACCCCUUAGCUUUUAGAGGAUCCUGCCUGUGGUGAGUGUGCUCAGCUCUGACAUUUGGGCAAAGAUUCAGGAGAAGGGACAGGGGACUCUCACAGCCCCUUGACUUGGCAUCCAAUGAGGCCUGGGUCAGAAACGUACAGAUUUGCAACAUCUCCUUUAAGUUCUGAUGAUUUUGUUUUGUGUGUGUGUGUGUGUGUGUGUGUGUGUGUGUGUGUUAAGACUUAUCUAUUUAUUUUGAAAGAGUUCGGGAAAGGAAAAGACAGAGAGAUCUUCCAUCUGUGGGUUCACUCCCUAGAUGGGUACAAUGGCCUGCACUGGGGCCAGGUAGAAGCUAGGAGCCAGGAGCUCCAUGUAGGCCUCCACGUGGGUAGUAGAAGCCCAGGCAUUUGAGCCAUCAUCCACAGCUUUCACAGACCCUUAGCAGCUGGCUGUAUGAUCAGUGGAGGAGCCAAGGCAUGGCAGUGUCACAGGCAGUGACCUCACCCACUCUGCCACAAUGCCAGCCCCCUGCUGUGGUUUUGUAAAACUGGAAUUAUUUUUUUCCUUGAUCCCCAAAACCCACAGUAAGGUCUGUUCCACCUAGGACAGUCGCUGUUAUGUGGUGGAUUUACAGAUAUUUGUUGAAUAAAAGGGUGAAUGAACAAUGAGUACUAUUUCUGUCCAAAAGCAUGGUUCAAGUUUGCAACUUUAACAUUGAGAAAAGGACUCUCCUGAGAGAGCACUGGCCCUCAUUAUUGUGAGGCAGCCACCUUGCUGUCACUUGGGUUAGAGGAGGAUGUGGCAUGCUUGCUUAGGGGCAAGUCUUGGAGUCCAGACAAGCUCAUUAGCAUAUCAGCAUUUGGAAGGAAGAAGGGAAAAGGAAGUGUGAAGAGACGGUGGAACUUAGGGACCUUACACUCCUCAGUCACAUCUUUCAGAAGCAGUUCUAGUUUUGUUGCUCCGUAACCUUAAGUUCAUAAUUUUUCUCUGAGCCUUGAUCUCUAGACAACUUACAUGGGUUGAGAUGUGCUGAACACAGAGGGGAUUUCCAUGCAGUAAUCACAGUGACACACAUAUGCUGAGCCCUUCCUCUGGGCCUGGCCCUGACGUCAGCACUUUGCCUGUGUUUUCUCUGCAUAUGCCCUCUAGGAUGCCAGACCACACUUCUAACACAGGUUGCCUUCCAGGAAUGUGAGUGCUAUGUUUGCACUCAGAAUCAUCUAAAUAAAAUACUGUAAAUACAUUUACAUUUCACAUACAAUACAUGUUUGCCCAAAGAUAAGUAAAGGUAAAAAUCCAAGGUCCACCCUAUUUUGCAAUGUCUAUCUCAAAUGUCAGAUAUUCACCAAGUCACUGAGUUAUCAGACCUACUAUAACUGAUGAGUAGAGGCCAAUAAAAAACCAAGAGGCUGCCAUUGCAGUGUGGUGGGCAGAGCCACCACAUGCAAUCCCAACAUCCCGUAUAAGUGCCAGCUCAAGUCCUAGCUGUUCCACUUCUGAUCCAGUUCCCUGCUCAUGUGCCUGAGAAAACAGUUGAAGAGGGCCCAAUUUCUUGGGUUCCUGCACCUAGGUGGCAAACCUGGGGGAAGCUCCUGGCUCCUGGCUUCGGUCUGCUCAGCCCUGCCUUCCAAAUAAAUAAAAUAAAUCUUUUUUUUUUUUUUAAAAACUGA
Molecule: non-coding RNA, 1913 nt
Organism: Oryctolagus cuniculus (rabbit)
Lineage: Eukaryota; Metazoa; Chordata; Mammalia; Lagomorpha; Leporidae
Source: RefSeq, a predicted model, not a curated record